GACGAACGCUGGCGGCGUGCUUAACACAUGCAAGUCGAACGGAAAGGCCCCUUUGGGGGUCCUCGAGUGGCGAACGGGUGAGUAACACGUGAGUAACCUGCCCUUGACUUCGGGAUAACUUCAGGAAACUGGGGCUAAUACCGGAUAGGAAUCCUUGCUGCAUGGUGGGGGUUGGAAAGCUUCGGCGGUUUUGGAUGGACUCGCGGCUUAUCAGCUUGUUGGUGGGGUAGUGGCUUACCAAGGCUUUGACGGGUAGCCGGCCUGAGAGGGCGACCGGCCACAUUGGGACUGAGAUACGGCCGAGACUCCUACGGGAGGCAGCAGUGGGGAAUAUUGCACAAUGGGCGGAAGCCUGAUGCAGCAACGCCGCGUGCGGGAUGACGGCCUUCGGGUUGUAAACCGCUUUCAGCAGGGGCGAAGCUUGUGGUGACGGUACCUGCAGAAGAAGCACCGGCUAACUACGUG
RNAcentral lists this ribosomal RNA (465 nucleotides) under uncultured bacterium. Its description in RNAcentral is "partial 16S ribosomal RNA". It matches the Rfam family "Bacterial small subunit ribosomal RNA", at positions 28 to 507 of the family's 1533-position model. The record is from RNAcentral.